RNAcentral lists this ribosomal RNA (305 nucleotides) under uncultured bacterium. RNAcentral describes it as "bacterial SSU rRNA". It matches the Rfam family "Bacterial small subunit ribosomal RNA", at positions 333 to 635 of the family's 1533-position model. The record is from RNAcentral.
UCAUUCCUACGGGAGGCAGCAGUGAGGAAUAUUGGUCAAUGGGAGAGAUCCUGAACCAGCCACGCCGCGUGAGGGAAGACGGCCCUAUGGGUUGUAAACCUCUUUUGUCGGAGAACAAAACCCGGGACGUGUCCCGGACUGCGUGUAUCCGAAGAAAAAGCAUCGGCUAACUCCGUGCCAGCAGCCGCGGUAAUACGGAGGAUGCGAGCGUUAUCCGGAUUUAUUGGGCGUAAAGGGAACGCAGGCGGUCUUUUAAGUCUGAUGUGAAAGCCUUCGGCUUAACCGGAGUAGUGCAUUGGACACUG